CCUACGGGGGGCAGCAGUGGGGAAUAUUGCACAAUGGGGGAAACCCUGAUGUAGCGACGCCGCGUGAGUGAAGAAGUAUUUCGGUAUGUAAAGCUCUAUCAGCAGGGAAGAAAAUGACGGUACCUGAUUAAGAAGCCCCGGCUAACUACGUGCCAGCAGCCGCGGUGAUACGUAGGGGGCAAGCGUUAUCCGGAUUUACUGGGUGGAAAGGGAGCGUAGACGGCAGCACAAGUCUGGAGUGAAAUGCCAGGGCUGAACCCCGGAACUGCUUUGGAAACUGUGCAGCUAGAGUGCAGGAGAGGUAAGUGGAAUUCCUAGUGUAGCGGUGAAAUGCGUAGAUAUUAGGAGGAACACCAGUGGCGAAGGCGGCUUACUGGACUGUAACUGACGUUGAGGCUCGAAAGCGUGGGGAGCAAACAGGAUUAGAUACCCGAGUAGUC
RNAcentral lists this ribosomal RNA (440 nucleotides) under uncultured bacterium. RNAcentral's name for it is "partial 16S ribosomal RNA". It matches the Rfam family "Bacterial small subunit ribosomal RNA", at positions 338 to 795 of the family's 1533-position model. The record is from RNAcentral.